Molecule: long non-coding RNA, 4813 nt
Organism: Cavia porcellus (domestic guinea pig)
Lineage: Eukaryota; Metazoa; Chordata; Mammalia; Rodentia; Caviidae
Exons: 2
Source: RefSeq, a predicted model, not a curated record
CUUGAGAGGGCCGGCUAAAGGAGGAGCCCUGAGUAGCGGUUCAGGACCGAUGGCGGCGCGGGGCGGGGCCGAGGUGGUGGCGACGUGGAGGCAGAGUUCCGGCGUGCGGCGGCGGCUGCUGCAAAGGGAGCCCUCGCCUGGGCUCUGCAGCGAUGACGCGCGUCCCCUCCGGCCUGGCCCUUCGCGCGCACCGCCCCCAGCGGCCUGGGCGGCCCAGUCACCCCGAACUCCUCUCCUUCUGGGGAGCUUAAAGUACGGGGUAGAGAUAGAGCCCGUGACAUUUGACCAACUGGUGGGAACAGCCGCCCAUUCUAUAGUGUGCAACCUGUUCGAAUAAAUGCUCAACUUCCAGCUGCAUUACGGUUUUAAGUUUUGAAAACAUAGCGUGGCUUUGAAUGAUCUAGAGACCGUUUUUUUCUUUUGAAAUUCACCCUUUCACGUUAAUAUUUCUUAACACGCACCAGACGCCAGGACCUACGCUUCCCUAGGGAUGCCCUCGGAAAGGCACCCGAGGGGGGAAAGGCUCUUGAAUGAAGUGGAGAUGAAAAAUGAACAUGCAUGUUAAUUGAGUUGUUAAAUCUGUUAGAUGGUGUAAUAGGUAUUUAACCCGUUGCAUACUAGUCUAGAAUUUGUAGAGAAAAUAUAUUCGUAUCUCACGUGUUUGCUAUAUUGUGGUAAAGAUAGCAUCCGGAAACAGUAGCCAAAUUAUAACAAGUAGAAAUGGUCAUAAAUGAGGGUUGAAAUUGGUGUCUGAAACCCAGACCUGAGUCCUCACGAUUAAAUGAAUUUAGGAGAGUUUAGGUCUUAAAUACUAAGUUGAUUCUUACUGAAUACAGAACAAUUUAAAAUUAAUUACUAGCCGUCUAGCAUCUUCAUCAUCAUCAUCAUUAUUUGAACUGAAAGACUGCUACUUUUACCCAAAAGAGUAAUUAUCGACCAAAGAAUAGUCAAAAUUAAAUACAAGACUUAAUGAAGUAGAAUAUCUAAUGGAAAUAAUAGAAGCUGUCGGACCUCAUUUUAAAUCUCCACUGCUAAACACAAACUUAGAAAAACUUGAGUCAGUUCCAUAUCUUUAAGUUUGGAUUUGCUUAUCUAUAUGAUGCUGGCUUUUCUUUUGUUAUUUUGUUUUGCUAAAGGCUAAAAUUUUUGAAAGGUCAGUUUUCAUUACCUUACCAAAUGAUUCUUUAAUCUUUAACUGCUUUUACUGUUUUUUGAGAUAAGAUCUAAUCCAGGUUAACUUUGAACUUACUAUCUCCCCACCUUAUCCUCCAAAGUUUAGGGUUUAGAGGAAUACGUUGGCUCUCCACUAGAGCCAGUUUUACUACAAACUCUUAAGACCCUGAGUGCAUGUCGUCUUUUUAAAUUAUUCAGGUGUUCACUAAAAUGUGUUUCAUGGAACAUGCAGUAUUUCUUUGCAAAAAGGUCCCUCAUGAAGAAAAUUGCUAGAAUUAUCAGUACAGGGGUUGAUAUGAGCCUGUCUCUGAGAGGCUAGGAGAAAUAUGCUUAGUAGCAUUUGUUCCAAAUGUUUAGUCUGAAUAUCAUCAUGAGGAGGCAUUGAGACAAAUUCGCAAGGUGAUUUAUUUAACUUCUCAGUAACCUCAAUAUCGUGAAAUACAAACAACAACAACAGAGAACUGAUAGGUGUUUAAAGUAGCUAUGACUAUUCUGGUUAGGACUUAGGAUUUUUAAAAUUUGAACAGGGGAACAUAACAUUAUUGACUUAAAUUUCUCAAGAAUGAUACUGAUGGUAGAAUGUUCCUUUUGUUCUUUGAGGAUGUAUAUUUAAGUAUUUAGAAGUGAGGUCAUGAUGUCUGCAAAUAUCCAGACCCUCCUCCCCAAAAAAGGGUGUGAAGAGAGAGAAAAUAGGGCACUAUUUUAACAAUUGUAGUUCAGAUGACUACCAAAUGAGAAUUUUUAACUCUUCUGUAAAUCUGGAGUCUUUCCAAAUAAAUUGGAAACAAAUUGUAUCUGGCAAUUAUUUUUUUAAAAUACCAUGCUUCUAAGAAAAUCCAAGAUACAUUUAUAUGUUUUUUUUACACUUACGUGCUGAAAAACUACUAGUCUGCACACUAACACCUAUUAAUUAGCCGAAGAAAUCCUGUGUAUUCUUUAAUGAUCACUUCUCAGCACGGUGGAUGUUGCAGUAGAAGUUUAAUAGUAAUGAAUUAUAAUCUGUCAAUGUCUCGCAGAUUUUUAAUGUUUAUUCAUUUUAGCAAUUAUUUAUGGAAUACCUGUUAUGUGACUGACCCUACACAGGUUCCAGGAUCUCCAGAGGAUACCAAAGUCUGAGAGCACACAAGUCACUUAUAUAAGAUGGCAUGAUAUUUGCAUGUACUUGCAUGUAUGUUCCUGUAUGCUUCAUGUCAUCCGGAAUACAAUGUAAAUGCUGUGUAAACACUAUAUUUAGGGAAUUGUGACCAAAAAUGCAUACAUGUCCAGUAGACAGAUACAAUUUUGGGAUAUAGGCCUGCAGUACUAGAUUCUAGAAAUACGUUAUAGCAGUACAGAUAUACAUUUGUUAGAAGUAAAUAAGCAUAUAUAUAUCUCAAAUAGUAGUUGUGCUAUGUGGAAUAAUAAGCCAAACGUCAAGGGUAGAGAGUUUCAGUAAAGAGUGGACAUAUGCUGUUCUAUACGGUGAAUUAAGAAGGCCUGGAGAAGGAGCAAACCCCUGAAGAAGGGAGGGAGGGAGUUGGGACUGUCCAGGAAAGCGCACACUAAAAAGUGGGGCCGCAAGUGCCCAGGUUCCCAGCUGAGACCAGAGAGUGUCACAGGCAGGAGCGAGUGUGCAGUAGGAGAUGAGGGUAGUGAUGUAGCCAAGAAUUAGACUGUGGAUUACAUCCAGAUCUUAAAUUAGGAUGGGAAGUCUCUGAGAGCAAUCCAUCCAGGACUGUGUCACUUUCCAUCUGGACCUGUGAAAGUGAAAAAUGAGUUCUCUGCUUCUACAAUAAAGUGGUAGAACAGGCAGAGAAUGGCAGUUACAGCCAUUUUUGGGCAAAAAGGGAGAAAGUGGAAAAAAAGUUAUGGGUCCCAGUUUCCAAAUCCAACCUGGAGUCUCCAUUAAAUGUCAAGGCUGAGGCGUAAUGCUAGGUGGUUCUUGGCUUUACUGUGGGCUCAUAGCCCCACCCUCUGUUCAGUAAGAAUGAGCAUGGAGGUCUUUGAGAGGCCAUUAUUUUGCCUGCCAUAGUCAUUAUAUUUAUUAGAUUUAGUAUUACUGCAUUAGUAAUCAUUUAAUAAUACUUCAAGUAUUCACAUAGUAGUUUUUCAGCACUUAAGCUGAUGCAUUCGUCUCAGUUAAGUGGUUCAUUACUUCUGACCUUUAAACAAAUCCUUGAUCAGUACUUGUGGAGCUCACCAUUUCAAGGAACUUUAUUAUGAAUCACUAAAUAGGAAAUUCAAGUUUGCAAUCUAAUUUCUAUUAGCUGGAAAGAAUGUAGUCUUACAGAUCAGAUUUUCUUAUAGGCACUUUAUUUAUUCUAACGUUACUGAUUUUUUUCCCCGACCCAGAGUACCUGCAGUAUGUUUAAUUUUAUGGGAUAGGGAAAGUUUUACAGCUGCUAAUGUCAUCAUUUCUUUACUUUUUAAGGACAUUAAAACCCAUUUCUGCCUCCCAGCAGGUGGCAGCAAAUCAAUACUCUGUAAGGUACUGUAAAAUUACAGUUUUCUAAUCUUGAUAAGUGUUUGGAUGUUGCAGACUGGCUUAGCAAGAAAAGCAAAAAGAAUACUAGUGUCAAUAAAGGUAGAGGUCAGUAAUUGAGAGCACUUUGGAAAAACCCUAAAUCUCAAUAAUUAAAAGCAUAGAAUUUCCAGAUUUCUGGUCUUAGAAGUUCAAAUUGACAGUGAAGACAUUUUUUGUCCUCUUUUAAGCCAACUGGUUGACAUAGGAAAUAAAGAAAUAAUUAGUGUCACAUUCGAACCAAUUGCAUUAACCUGGCACUGCCCUAAGAUUGGAGUAUGCUGGAAGCCACUGCGGAUGGCUGUUGAGUAUUUCACUGAAACAGUUAUAGCAUAUUUAAAAUUCAUGAAAUUGUUCCCAUUUCUCGCUUUCCUUUCCUCACAGACUGAAAAUACUGAUUGAAAAUCUGGGAACAAAACAGUGGAUAGAGUUGACAAAACAAAAUCUGUUCCUGGACAGUUUUUCAUAAGUUUAAUAAGUACGAAGAUAAUGAACACAGAUUACAUUUGCAUAAUGGCAUAACAGAAAUGUAUUGGACAAUGUAAACUAUAGGGAAACCCAUUUGGAAACUAAAUCAGGAUUCCGAUUCUGGCAAGAUGACUAUUUAAUGAUGAGUAGUUUUAUAGAGGAGAAGGAACAACCUCCUAUGUUUUCCUCUAUAACUGAGUCGCGGUGUCUGUGAUGGUUGAUUGGUUGUGUCAGCUUGAGUAAGAGAAGCUUAACUAAAUUGGCUCAGCAGUUCCACACCCUAGGGUAUGGAAGAUACACCCUCGCCAGGUUGCCACCUGGAUGGUGUGAAGGGGAAAUGGAGAAGGAUGGAGCUUCUUUGGAGGAACCCAGUCUUUGCCAUUGCCAUGGAUGUCGUCACCUGGCUUCCAGCACAGAUCCUUCAGCCUUCUGGGUAGACUCAUCAGCCUUCCAUGGCAGACUCGUCGGCCUCCUGAUAUGUGGCACAGAACACUGCAGUGAGCUCCAGACACUCUUAACUGUAUUCCUUGGUUCCCAGAGUGCAGACACGCUCUGCACUCUUUCAUGUCGGACUCUGGGUGACCAUUGUGAGCCAAUCAUGUAAAUUCGUACAUACUUGUAUAUCUUGUAUUGUAUUUGUUUCUCUAAUAAACACCAACAUAAUACCUUUCA